Long non-coding RNA from Solanum pennellii, 759 nucleotides. RefSeq lists it as uncharacterized. NCBI's taxonomy places the organism in Eukaryota, Viridiplantae, Streptophyta, Magnoliopsida, Solanales, Solanaceae. The record is from RefSeq and is a predicted model, not a curated record. The transcript is spliced from 2 exons.
GGGGGGGACGACCUUUUCUUUCUUUUCCUUUAUUUUUCCUGAUCGUUUUCUAGCAUAAAGAUAUUCAAAGGUUCAAAUAGAAAAAUACUCUAAAGAUACAUUAAGUUUACCUAUAAAAGUAGAGGUUGUCGUAUUUUAGUGUGGGAAAAUUAUAUUUCCUACCUAGGUCUUUGUUUGACUUUCCAGACUUAGGGUCGUGUUUGGUGGUGAAGGGUUAUCUCUCCUCAGCUCGUUUGUCCUCGUUCUCUGCCCUAAAAAAGUAAUUUGGCGUCGAGUUCAUUAUCAACUCCCACUUCCUCUAUCUUUGCAUUUUUGAGAAAGCUGAAAAGGCUUAAUCCCAUCUUUCCGAGUCAAUCCAUAAAAUUCGCUGGACAGAUUUUGAAUCGAAAUUAACAUGAGAAGCCAAGGACACGGAGGAGUUAAAUUUGAAGACCCUUUUAUUUUUCUUAUUUUGUAUUUUUAUUUGCAACGGUCAUAAGCCCUUGUCGCCUUUUACUUCUCCAUAUUUACCUUUUUUAUAGCAUGUUUAGUCUAGGACAGGUGUAAAAAGAAAAUGGGUCGAAACCACCCCCCCCCCCCCAAAAAAAAAAGGUCAACCCAAAGCUGGUGGGUUCAAUUCCCGGCCAAGGUGGACAGAACCCGGGAUUGGACCCAAAAAUCUCUCUCUCUCCCUCUCUUAUACCUUAUUAUCUAUGUGAUUUCGUUUAUUUGUCCUUAGCUUAGAGUUAGAAAAACUCCAAACCCCGUUGAACGCCAAAA